AUUGAACGCUGGCGGCAGGCCUAACACAUGCAAGUCGAACGGUAACAGGAAGCAGCUUGCUGCUUUGCUGACGAGUGGCGGACGGGUGAGUAAUGUCUGGGAAACUGCCUGAUGGAGGGGGAUAACUACUGGAAACGGUAGCUAAUACCGCAUAACGUCGCAAGACCAAAGAGGGGGACCUUAGGGCCUCUUGCCAUCGUAUUUUCCCAGAUGGGAUUAGCUAGUAGGUGGGGUAACGGCUCACCUAGGCGACGAUCCCUAGCUGGUCUGAGAGGAUGACCAGCCACACUGGAACUGAGACACGGUCCAGACUACUACGGGAGGCAGCAGUGGGGAAUAUUGCACAAUGGGCGAAAGCCUGAUGCAGCCAUGCCGCGUGUAUGAAGAAGGCCUUCGGGUUGUAAAGUACUUUCAGCGGGGAGGAAGGGAGUAAAGUUAAUACCUUGGCUCAUUGACGUUACCCGCAGAAGAAGCACCGGCUAACUCCGUG
This 490-nucleotide ribosomal RNA is filed under the name uncultured bacterium. Its description in RNAcentral is "partial 16S ribosomal RNA". It matches the Rfam family "Bacterial small subunit ribosomal RNA", at positions 30 to 507 of the family's 1533-position model. The record is from RNAcentral.